CAAGCGAAUCCCAAAAAUAAACGUCCCAGUUCGGAUUGCAGUCUGCAACUCGAGUGCAUGAAGCUGGAAUCGCUAGUAAUCGCGGAUCAGAAUGCCGCGGUGAAUACGUUCCCGGGUCUUGUACACACCGCCCGUCACACCAUGGGAGUCGGGAAUGCCCGAAGUCAGUGACCCAACCGGAAGGAGGGAGCUGCCGAAGGCAGGCUCGAUAACUGGGGUGAAGUCGUAACAAGGUAAC
RNAcentral lists this ribosomal RNA (238 nucleotides) under uncultured bacterium. RNAcentral describes it as "partial 16S ribosomal RNA". It matches the Rfam family "Bacterial small subunit ribosomal RNA", at positions 1264 to 1500 of the family's 1533-position model. The record is from RNAcentral.